UUAGAAGUUUUUUUUUCUGCUCAGAUUGAACGCUGGCGGCAGGCCCUAACACAUGCAAGUCGAGCGGUAGCACAGAGAGCUUGCUCUCGGGUGACGAGCGGCGGACGGGUGAGUAAUGUCUGGGAAACUGCCUGAUGGAGGGGGAUAACUACUGGAAACGGUAGCUAAUACCGCAUAACGUCGCAAGACCAAAGUGGGGGACCUUCGGGCCUCAUGCCAUCAGAUGUGCCCAGAUGGGAUUAGCUAGUAGGUGGGGUAACGGCUCACCUAGGCGACGAUCCCUAGCUGGUCUGAGAGGAUGACCAGCCACACUGGAACUGAGACACGGUCCAGACUCCUACGGGAGGCAGCAGUGGGGAAUAUUGCACAAUGGGCGCAAGCCUGAUGCAGCCAUGCCGCGUGUGUGAAGAAGGCCUUCGGGUUGUAAAGCACUUUCAGCGGGGAGGAAGGCGAUAAGGUUAAUAACCUUGUCGAUUGACGUUACCCGCAGAAGAAGCACCGGCUAACUCCGUGCCAGCAGCCGCGGUAAUACGGAGGGUGCAAGCGUUAAUCGGAAUUACUGGGCGUAAAGCGCACGCAGGCGGUCUGUCAAGUCGGAUGUGAAAUCCCCGGGCUCAACCUGGGAACUGCAUUCGAAACUGGCAGGCUAGAGUCUUGUAGAGGGGGGUAGAAUUCCAGGUGUAGCGGUGAAAUGCGUAGAGAUCUGGAGGAAUACCGGUGGCGAAGGCGGCCCCCUGGACAAAGACUGACGCUCAGGUGCGAAAGCGUGGGGAGCAAACAGGAUUAGAUACCCUGGUAGUCCACGCCGUAAACGAAGGCGAUUUGGAGGUUGUGCCCUUGAGGCGUGGCUUCCGGAGCUAACGCGUUAAAUCGCGCCGCCGGGGGAGGC
RNAcentral lists this ribosomal RNA (889 nucleotides) under Salmonella enterica. RNAcentral describes it as "bacterial SSU rRNA". It matches the Rfam family "Bacterial small subunit ribosomal RNA", at positions 9 to 873 of the family's 1533-position model. Lineage: Bacteria; Pseudomonadati; Pseudomonadota; Gammaproteobacteria; Enterobacterales; Enterobacteriaceae. The record is from RNAcentral. RNAcentral also lists the same sequence under 1 other name.